Molecule: ribosomal RNA, 1001 nt
Filed under: Bacillus sp. (in: firmicutes)
Lineage: Bacteria; Bacillati; Bacillota; Bacilli; Caryophanales; Bacillaceae
Description: Bacillus sp. (in: Bacteria) partial 16S ribosomal RNA
Source: RNAcentral
CUUUAGGCGGCUGGCUCCAAAAGGUUACCCCACCGACUUCGGGUGUUACAAACUCUCGUGGUGUGACGGGCGGUGUGUACAAGGCCCGGGAACGUAUUCACCGCGGCAUGCUGAUCCGCGAUUACUAGCGAUUCCGGCUUCAUGCAGGCGAGUUGCAGCCUGCAAUCCGAACUGAGAAUGGUUUUAUGGGAUUGGCUUCACCUCGCGGCUUCGCUGCCCUUUGUUCCAUCCAUUGUAGCACGUGUGUAGCCCAGGUCAUAAGGGGCAUGAUGAUUUGACGUCAUCCCCACCUUCCUCCGGUUUGUCACCGGCAGUCACCUUAGAGUGCCCAACUAAAUGCUGGCAACUAAGAUCAAGGGUUGCGCUCGUUGCGGGACUUAACCCAACAUCUCACGACACGAGCUGACGACAACCAUGCACCACCUGUCACUCUGUCCCCCGAAGGGGAACGCCCUAUCUCUAGGGUUGUCAGAGGAUGUCAAGACCUGGUAAGGUUCUUCGCGUUGCUUCGAAUUAAACCACAUGCUCCACCGCUUGUGCGGGCCCCCGUCAAUUCCUUUGAGUUUCAGCCUUGCGGCCGUACUCCCCAGGCGGAGUGCUUAAUGCGUUUGCUGCAGCACUAAAGGGCGGAAACCCUCUAACACUUAGCACUCAUCGUUUACGGCGUGGACUACCAGGGUAUCUAAUCCUGUUCGCUCCCCACGCUUUCGCGCCUCAGCGUCAGUUACAGACCAGAGAGCCGCCUUCGCCACUGGUGUUCCUCCACAUCUCUACGCAUUUCACCGCUACACGUGGAAUUCCGCUCUCCUCUUCUGCACUCAAGUUCCCCAGUUUCCAAUGACCCUCCCCGGUUGAGCCGGGGGCUUUCACAUCAGACUUAAGGAACCGCCUGCGCGCGCUUUACGCCCAAUAAUUCCGGAACAACGCUUGCCACCUACGUAUUACCGCGACUGCUGACACGAAAUUAACCCGGGCUUUUCUGGGUCCGGAACCGACCAAGG